GGAACACGGUGUAAAUCCGUGGCGGUCCCGCCGCUGUAAUCGGGGAUGCUGGUUAGCACAGGAAAUUAUCCAGUCACUCCCAGAGCUUAGCCUCUGGGGGGAAGACCGCAAACCAGCAAACGAUCCGAAAGUCAGAAGAC
This 140-nucleotide non-coding RNA is filed under the name Deltaproteobacteria bacterium. The record is from RNAcentral. Lineage: Bacteria; Pseudomonadati; Myxococcota; Myxococcia.